Brassica rapa (field mustard) is the source of this 2520-nucleotide long non-coding RNA. RefSeq lists it as uncharacterized. Lineage: Eukaryota; Viridiplantae; Streptophyta; Magnoliopsida; Brassicales; Brassicaceae. The record is from RefSeq and is a predicted model, not a curated record.
UGUGGCGAUUGGUUUCACACUAACCUGAUGAUGGUUCAAUGGUAUCAAAGAAGUCGUUGUUAUCACGGUCGUUGUGGCUGUAGAAGAUUUUAAGGGUUGUGACCCGGGUUCGGGUGGAUAGGAAUUGAGAGCCUCCAAAGCUUGUAACUCUUCGAAAAACCGUGAAUAUAUAUGCAUGUAUCAGAAUAUAUAUGUAUAUAACAAAAAAACCUGGAGACUUCUUCCCAUAAGGGAGCUUUGAGAGUGGAGUCACGAAAGGCUUUAUCCAUUUCCGAACGUAUUCUCAAGAGAGCUAGAGUUUCCGGUCUUGGCCACCGGUUUCCUCCUCCUCCGCCUACUUCUCCGAUUUCCUCCAUUUUCAUAUCUUUCUCAUCCUCGCCUGAACCGCCCAUGCCGCCACUGCCGAAGCUAUCUAACAGUCCUGAAGAGUUUCCAGACACACUUAAGAUUCGAAUCCGGAUGCCUCAGAGAGAGUUUAUGAAGAGUUUGACGAGAAGAGAAGGUUGUGGUUGAAUUUUCUGUUUUUUCGUCUAUUGUGAUUUUAUCUUUUUAAUUUUUUUUUUUUGGUAAAAUUUAUCUUUUUAAUUGGGUGGGAGGACCAUAUAUCAAGACAUUUUUGUAUACGUUAUAUAUUUUGCAUAAUUAUUUUUCAAUAUAUCACAAAAGGAGGAGUGGGACUUCAAAGGGAAACCUUUUAACUUUCUUUCUGUCUUUUUAAAUUUGGGAAUCUUCUCAUUGCUUAUAAGAAAAUUUUGGUACCAGAAAAUAAUUUCAUAUAAAUUAGAGUUUUUUUGAACAUUCUCUCAGUAGAUGUAACAUCUGAUUAAUGAUUGGUUUAUCAGCUUUUUCGGCAAUGAAUAUUCCAGAAACUUGCCAUCGGUUGUGGUACUAAAACUGGUUAAAAAUCAAAACCCUAAUUAGACUGAAUAAUUUGAUAUCAAUAAUUUAUGAACUGCUAGAACUGAAUUCUAUAAACUCUAAAAUUACGUUCCGAUACAAGAUACAAUUGCUCAUUCAUUACGUCAAUCCAUAUACUUUUACAUAUAAUUAUUAAAAAGAGAUUCUAACGUGGAUGUAUAAGUAUAAUUGAAGAGUCUUUAACUGUCCCACUUAGAAUUUUUUUCCAUCACACCUCUCUUAAAAUUAUUACUGGGAAUUGCAUAUCUGUAUACUAUGUAAAGUAUAUAGUAUAGUGCAGUAAACAAUAAAAGUGUAACUGGUGACAAAUUAAAGAAAUAUAUAAAAUGGUAAAAAUUAUUAUAUAUGAAAUUUAAUGGAAUAGAAUUAGCAUUCCACUUAUUCUAAAAUAUUUCAAUUUGGAAUGAUUUUGCAAAUCAAAGUUAAUUUCUUCUAAAAAAAUAUGGAAUAUUGUUGAAUGCAAUGGAAUACUUUUUCAUUUUUUAUUCUAACUGGUGAAUAAUUUUUGGAAUGCACAAAAAUUAAGUAUUUAAGAAAUUUUUAUUCUAAAAAGUACAUCUCAGUUGCACCCUAAAUAAAUAAUCAAGAUGAUGAUUCCAUAUGAAAUAAUAACAAUACUUGGAGAUUGUGAGCUGUGGAGAUUGGAAAAGCCUAAGAAUAUAAUUACAUUAAUGUUUAAAAUGAUUGACAUCAUAAUGGGUGCCUUUUGUUUUAAUUCUAUUUUUUUUAAAUUCUAAUUAAAAUUUAAAAUAAUUAAGGUAAUCAACAAGAACAGCUGCAGAUAUAGACGAUAGAGAUAGUAUUCGGGUAGCAUGAGCCCACGUGGGCCCAUAUUAGCUUUUCACCGCCGCUGGAUAAAUCGGUGAUGACUGUUAAUUUACCUCUUUACCCCCUAAUGUUGACAUAUCUAAUCUAAUCAUGCAACUAGUUUGUAACCCAAUAACUGACACGUCAUGUUCCCCGUUAUGAUACAUCAUUUCCAUUUAAUAUAUAAACUAGAUCUCGAGCCGCACAGUUAUGAUACAUCAUUUCCAUUUAAUAUAUAAACUAGAUCUGGAUCCGCACAACCGUGCGGGCUUUUUAUUUCUAUACUAAAAUAUUUUAGUUUAUAUAACAACAUUUACCAAUAAAUUAAUAUAAUUUAGUGUUAUAUAUUAUAUAAUUCUAUAAUAGCUAUGUUUACAUGGCUUAUAUAUUAUUACUAUAAAUUUUGUUUUUUUGUAACAAAAAUUAUUUUGGAAACUUUAUUAUGUAACAAUAUUACUUUACAUACUUUUUAUUUAAAAUUUAAAAUUUAUAUGAAAGCAAAUUAAUUUGGAUCAAUAUAGUAGAGAAGAAAUUUUUGAGAUACUCUAAAGAAUUUCUUUUAAAGAAAUACUAUAAUACAUUGUACUUCAAAAUAAGUUUGUCGUAAACAUCAUAUUUGAGAAAUACACUAAGUUGGAUAAAAUAUCUUCUUUUAAUUUGAAAUAAAAAUGAAUCUUUCUAACAAAAUCUUUGUAAUUUUUAUUUUUGAAAAUUAAUCAGCUGAAAUUGUUAUUAUCAUUGAAUAUAAAAUUAUAAUACUCUGUAUAAUUUUAAAUUUUCAUAUAUAAAUCAAAA